This 274-nucleotide ribosomal RNA is filed under the name uncultured bacterium. RNAcentral's name for it is "partial 16S ribosomal RNA". It matches the Rfam family "Bacterial small subunit ribosomal RNA", at positions 523 to 796 of the family's 1533-position model. The record is from RNAcentral.
AUACGGAGGGUGCAAGCGUUAUUCGGAAUCACUGGGCGUAAAGGACGCGUAGGCGGGUUGGCAAGUCAGAUGUGAAAUCCUACAGCUUAACUGUAGAACUGCAUUUGAAACUGCUAACCUAGAGUAUGGGAGGGGGAGAUGGAAUUAGUGGUGUAGGGGUAAAAUCCGUAGAUAUCACUAGGAAUACCGAAAGCGAAGGCGAUCUCCUGGAACAUAGCUGACGCUAAGGCGUGAAAGCGUGGGGAGCAAACAGGAUUAGAAACCCUAGUAGUCC